Molecule: ribosomal RNA, 253 nt
Filed under: uncultured bacterium
Lineage: Bacteria
Description: partial 16S ribosomal RNA
Rfam family: Bacterial small subunit ribosomal RNA
Source: RNAcentral
UACGUAGGGUGCAGGCGUUAAUCGGAAUUACUGGGCGUAAAGGGCUCGUAGGCGGCCAACUAAGUCAGACGUGAAAUCCCUCGGCUCAACCGGGGAACUGCAUCUGAUACUGGAUGGCUUGAGAUUGGGAGAGGGAUGCGGAAUUCCAGGUGUAGCGGUGAAAUGCGUAGAUAUCUGGAGGAACACCGGUGGCGAAGGCGGCAUCCUGGACCAACACUGACGCUGAGGAGCGAAAGCCAGGGGAGCAAACGGG